Non-coding RNA from Mustela putorius furo (domestic ferret), 333 nucleotides. The record is from Rfam. NCBI's taxonomy places the organism in Eukaryota, Metazoa, Chordata, Mammalia, Carnivora, Mustelidae.
GGAUGUGCGGGCGAUCUGGCUGCGACAUCUGUCACCCCAUUGAUCGCCAGGGUUGAUUCGGCUGAUCUGGCUGGCUAGGCGGGUGUCCCCUUCCUCCCUCACCGCUCCACGUGCGUCCCUCCCGAAGCUGCGCGCUCGGUCGAAGAGGACGACCUUCCCCGAUAGAGGAGAGGACCGGUCUUCGGUCAAGGGUAUACGAGUAGCUGCGCUCCCCUGCUAGAACCUCCAAACAAGCUCUCAAGGUUCAUGUGUAGGAGAACGUAGGGUAGUCAAGCUUCCAAGACUCCAGACACAUCCAAAUGAGGCGCUGCACGUGGCAGUCUGCCUUUAAAA